Molecule: long non-coding RNA, 787 nt
Organism: Ruditapes philippinarum (Manila clam)
Lineage: Eukaryota; Metazoa; Mollusca; Bivalvia; Venerida; Veneridae
Exons: 3
Source: RefSeq, a predicted model, not a curated record
UUCACACAACUUACUAUAAACAUGUGUUAUUGGUCAGUGAUCGGUCAAGUGCAACAUUACUUUUGCCCUACUGUUUUCAUAAUAACCAGUGUUAAACUCACCUAUCUUAUAUAAAAGAAAGUGUGAGAUAAGUGGGGUUUACAACAUGUAAUCUAAUACCCUGAACCAAUCUGGUAUCAGGAUCUGAUCUCAGAAAAUUCAAAUAUUAUACUCAGGAAGAGUUUAUUUGGACCUCAGUGCUUAUAAUUUAAAAAGAUGCUUAGGAGUAGAGUUAAACAUGUGACUAAAGUGCCAUUUAGAUGAAACAACUUUAUAAUGUGAACUUUAAUAAAAUUAUAAUGGGACAUUAAAGGAGUUCUUCAAUCAGAUGGAAAUGGAAAUUUACUACUGUUCAAUGGAAUAAUGGAAAACUUACAAUGCUACACAGGUAUCAUAGAGAGUUUCAAAUUAUAAUGAUGAAGGAAAGAAAAAUGAGGUUGAUUACAGAAAUAAUUGAUGUGUGUACAACAGGCAGUCAAUAAUAUGGAUAGUUGUGUGCAACAGUGAAGCCAUUCUGAAAGACUGAAUCUGUGAAGGACAUGAUUUAUCAUAAAUUAUGGAUACUUAUUUGAAAAAAAAAAAACAAAAAAACAAAAAAAACAGUUAUCUUAAAUAAAUAAUGUUUUGUUUUCUAUUUUCUCAACUUGGUAGACAUUUAUUAUUUUUUGAAUUUGUGUUAUAGAAUUAUUUUUGUUAAGAUGACUUGUAAAUCUAGAAAUAAGUUGAAAUGAAUAAAUUAAUUCUAUUA